This 361-nucleotide ribosomal RNA is filed under the name Klebsiella pneumoniae. RNAcentral's name for it is "bacterial SSU rRNA". It matches the Rfam family "Bacterial small subunit ribosomal RNA", at positions 1 to 360 of the family's 1533-position model. The record is from RNAcentral. Lineage: Bacteria; Pseudomonadati; Pseudomonadota; Gammaproteobacteria; Enterobacterales; Enterobacteriaceae. RNAcentral also lists the same sequence under 1 other name.
AAAUUGAAGAGUUUGAUCAUGGCUCAGAUUGAACGCUGGCGGCAGGCCUAACACAUGCAAGUCGAGCGGUAGCACAGAGAGCUUGCUCUCGGGUGACGAGCGGCGGACGGGUGAGUAAUGUCUGGGAAACUGCCUGAUGGAGGGGGAUAACUACUGGAAACGGUAGCUAAUACCGCAUAACGUCGCAAGACCAAAGUGGGGGACCUUCGGGCCUCAUGCCAUCAGAUGUGCCCAGAUGGGAUUAGCUAGUAGGUGGGGUAACGGCUCACCUAGGCGACGAUCCCUAGCUGGUCUGAGAGGAUGACCAGCCACACUGGAACUGAGACACGGUCCAGACUCCUACGGGAGGCAGCAGUGGGGA